UGCAUUCACUACUGUAAGUCGCUCUGGAUAAGAGCAUUUGCUAAAUGACAAAAA
Non-coding RNA from Salmo salar (Atlantic salmon), 54 nucleotides. Lineage: Eukaryota; Metazoa; Chordata; Actinopteri; Salmoniformes; Salmonidae. The record is from Rfam.